CUGGUCCUUGAUGUGUAGGAUAGGUGGGAGGCUUUGAAGCGUGGACGCCAGUCUGCGUGGAGCCAUCCUUGAAAUACCACCCUUUAAUGGCUGGUGUUCUAACGUAGACCCGUAAUCCGGGUUGCGGACAGUGUCUGGUGGGUAGUUUGACUGGGGCGGUCUCCUCCCAAAGAGUAACGGAGGAGCACGAAGGUUAGCUAAUCCUGGUCGGACAUCAGGAGGUUAGUGCAAUGGCAUAAGCUAGCUUGACUGCGAGAGUGACGGCU
RNAcentral lists this ribosomal RNA (266 nucleotides) under Klebsiella pneumoniae. RNAcentral's name for it is "partial 23S ribosomal RNA". It matches the Rfam family "Bacterial large subunit ribosomal RNA", at positions 2124 to 2389 of the family's 2925-position model. The record is from RNAcentral. Lineage: Bacteria; Pseudomonadati; Pseudomonadota; Gammaproteobacteria; Enterobacterales; Enterobacteriaceae.